GUGAACGCUGGCGGUAGGCCUCACACCUGCCAGUCGAACGGCAGCACAGUAAGAGCUUGCUCUUACGGGUGGCGAGUGGCGGACGGGUGCGGAAUACAUCGGAAUCUACUUUUUCGUGGGGGAUAACGUAGGGAAACUUACGCUAAUACCGCCUACGACCUACGGGUGAAAGCCGGGGAUCUUCGGACCUUGCGCGAUUGCAUGAGCCGAUGUCGGAUUAGCUAGUUGGCGGGGUAAAGGCCCACCAAGGCGACGAUCCGUAGCUGGUCUGAGAGGAUGAUCAGCCACACUGGAACUGAGACACGGUCCAGACUCCUACGGGAGGCAGCAGUGGGGAAUAUUGGACAAUGGGCGCAAGCCUGAUCCAGCCAUACCGCGUGGGUGAAGAAGGCCUUCGGGUUGUAAAGCCCUUUUGUUGGGAAAGAAAAGCAGCAGGUUAAUACCCCGCUGUUCUGACGGUACCCAAAGAAUAAGCACCGGCUAACUUCGUG
Molecule: ribosomal RNA, 491 nt
Filed under: uncultured bacterium
Lineage: Bacteria
Description: partial 16S ribosomal RNA
Rfam family: Bacterial small subunit ribosomal RNA
Source: RNAcentral